Molecule: ribosomal RNA, 216 nt
Filed under: uncultured bacterium
Lineage: Bacteria
Description: partial 16S ribosomal RNA
Rfam family: Bacterial small subunit ribosomal RNA
Source: RNAcentral
UACGUAGGGUGCAAGCGUUAAUCGGAAUUACUGGGCGUAAAGCGUGCGCAGGCGGUUUUGUAAGUCUGUCGUGAAAUCCCCGGGCUCAACCUGGGAAUUGCGAUGGAGACUGCAAGGCUAGAAUCUGGCAGAGGGGGGUAGAAUCCACGUGUAGCAGUGAAAUGCGUAGAGAUGUGGAGGAACACCGAUGGCGACGGCAGCCCCCUGGGUCAAGAU